RNAcentral lists this ribosomal RNA (465 nucleotides) under uncultured bacterium. RNAcentral's name for it is "partial 16S ribosomal RNA". It matches the Rfam family "Bacterial small subunit ribosomal RNA", at positions 338 to 795 of the family's 1533-position model. The record is from RNAcentral.
CCUACGGGAGGCUGCAGUGGGGAAUAUUGCGCAAUGGGCGCAAGCCUGACGCAGCGACGCCGCGUGUGGGAUGAAGGUCUUCGGGUCGUAAACCUCUGUCAGCGGGGAGGAACGGUCACUGGUCUAAUCACCCGUGGAUUGACGGUACCUGCAAAAGCAGCACCGGCUAACUCCGUGCCAGCAGCCGCGGUAAUACGGAGGGUGCAAGCGUUAAUCGGAAUUACUGGGCGUAAAGCGCUCGUAGGCGGUAUGUCAAGUCAAGGGUGAAAUCCCCGGGCUCAACGUGGGAACUGCAUUUGAAACUGGCAAACUGGAGUGUGGUAGAGGAGAGUGGAAUUCCAGGGGUAGGAGUGAAAUGCGUAGAUAUCGGGAGGAAUAGUAGUGGCGAAGGCGACUACCUGGACAAAAACUGACGCUCAGGUGCGAAAGCGUGGGGAGCAAACAGGAUUAGAUACCCGGGUAGUC